RNAcentral lists this ribosomal RNA (309 nucleotides) under Pollicipes pollicipes. RNAcentral's name for it is "partial 12S ribosomal RNA". Lineage: Eukaryota; Metazoa; Arthropoda; Thecostraca; Pollicipedomorpha; Pollicipedidae. The record is from RNAcentral.
AACGGAUUUGGCGGCGAGAUAGCCCAUUAGAGGAACCUGCCCUGUAAACGAUGGUCCACGAUAAACUUGCUAUAUUUUGAAAUCAGUUUGUAUACCGCUGUUGUCGGUUAGUUCUAGUAGGAAACUUUCAGGAAAUGGAUUAAUACCAUAGACUUCAAGUAAAGGUGCAGCUAAUAUUAUAGAAAGAGGUGGGUUACAUUUAUUUGAAUAAUACGGAAAGCUGAAUGAAAAAAGGCUGGAAGGUGGAUUUAAUAGUAAAUUCUUGCGGAGAUUUGAUUAGAGCUCUAUCUUGUGUACACACCGCCCGUC